This 598-nucleotide long non-coding RNA is filed under the name Phasianus colchicus (ring-necked pheasant). RNAcentral describes it as "lncRNA (ENSPCLG00000005229.1)". Lineage: Eukaryota; Metazoa; Chordata; Aves; Galliformes; Phasianidae. The record is from RNAcentral.
CUUUAUUCAUGCUGCCUGCAUGCUAAACUUCUGGCCUGGGAAAAUUAAACUGAAAAGAUUAAACGUUGGCAAAGUUGGGAUUAUCUAAAAAAAAGGAUCUAACAAGAAGAAAUGCCAAGCAACCUUAAUGGGCAGUGCUACCAACCUCGCCUAUAACAUAUCUCUUUGUUUACUAAGUAAUAUACAAUUAUGAUGAGUGAUUCCAUCUAAGUAGGCAGAGCUGUCAGAACUUGGCUUCCCACACAGCUAACGGAAAGAGGAUCAUAAUAAUUUCUAAAUGCGACUGAUAACGUGGUUUACAUUUUUCACAUUGUUAGCUCAUGCACAUUGGGAUUUCUGGCUGAGAAGAAGGAAAAGAUUUAGCUUCAUUGCUUCUCCUAACAAUCUGAAGAUGGGCUUGGAGAAGAAGAAUCAUACAGCUGACACAGGCUGAUGAUCCUCAUUAGCAUGAAGGCAGGGGGACAGAAGAAGAGUCUUCCAACCCUGAAUGUAUUUAUUCCCAAGGGAAGCAGCAAGGCUGACAAGAGCUUUCAGAAAUGUAAAGGAUUAUUGCCUCAUGAUGGAAUAAAAAGAUUAAUUUAGAAAAGGUCUGUAGCCA